CUGCAGCUAAUUAAGCCGACUGGGUUCCUUUACUUGUGGUGGCCCAGUGUGCAAUGGCUGCAAACAGCAAUCUCCUUGGUAGUGUAUGCAGCCUGUUGCUUGUAUGGGUUGCCCUAAGGGACCUUGGAGACAGCA
Molecule: small nucleolar RNA, 135 nt
Organism: Ictidomys tridecemlineatus (thirteen-lined ground squirrel)
Lineage: Eukaryota; Metazoa; Chordata; Mammalia; Rodentia; Sciuridae
Gene: SNORA70
Rfam family: Small nucleolar RNA SNORA70
About the family: snoRNA U70 seems to be exclusive to mammals and is a member of the H/ACA class of snoRNA which contain H (ANANNA) and ACA box motifs. H/ACA box snoRNAs are involved in the conversion of uridines to pseudouridines (5-ribosyluracil) a constituent of structural RNAs (transfer, ribosomal, small nuclear, and small nucleolar).
Source: Ensembl